GCAACGAUGCUCAUUGGAAACCAGUCGAGUAGAAGUCACCAUUUUAUUUGGAAAAUAUCGUAAAAUAAAAGUCGGCCCAUACAUUAAAAUUUAAAAAAAUGACUUAAGUGCACGAAUGAAAGAUUGAUAAACUGUGACUACUUCAUUAACUACAGUAAAGUAGGACCAGGACGAUCACAGAAUCCAGCCUGGAUGCAUUUUAUGGUCUGUGGUGUCUGCUGUAACUGCCAGCGUGAAGGGGAAGGUGCUCUGAAACUUCAAAACAAUGGCCUUGAUGGUGUCGUUGAUGUCGAAUCGAGGUCCGGGGGUGUUGCUGUCCAGGUGGUAGCUGGUACUGCGGUCCAGUUCCAUGAUGGCCCUCUUGAUACACAGCUCAAAGACGUCCUGCUUGUAAGGGAAGAUGGACUGACUGCAGCAAGGGUAGACAGACGCUUCCUCGCAGUCUUGGUUUUCCAUCCACUGUUGGGGAAAAAGGUAAGAAAUGUACUUAAUCUGAUAGCAAUAAACAGGAAGUCACUAUGUGGACGUUUGAAAGCUACACGGUAAAACACGGUAGACCAGGACUUGAUGAGUUGGUAGACAUGUUGCGCUCUUAGUUCUUGUACAGAUUAUAAUCCUCACAAAAUAAAGGGGCAUAAUUUAUAGUCUAACCCAGAGGUCUCAAACACGCGGCCCGCGGGCCAAACGUGGCCCGCAGGACACUAGUUUGAGGCCCCCGCCUUGAUAUGAAAGUUUAAUGUUAGUGUGGCCCCGCGCAAGUUUGAUAUGGAUGCUGUAUGGUAUCAUGUACCCAGAAAAAAUUAUUACC
Molecule: non-coding RNA, 808 nt
Organism: Doryrhamphus excisus (bluestripe pipefish)
Lineage: Eukaryota; Metazoa; Chordata; Actinopteri; Syngnathiformes; Syngnathidae
Source: RefSeq, a predicted model, not a curated record